AUCUAUGGCCAUACCACCCUGAACCUGCCCGAUCUCGUCUGAUCUCAAAAGCUAAUCGGGGUCAGGCCUGCUUAGUACUUGGGUGGGAGAAAAAGACUGCUUUCCCACAAGGCACUUUACUGUGUCAAAAAAU
RNAcentral lists this ribosomal RNA (133 nucleotides) under Prolemur simus (greater bamboo lemur). Lineage: Eukaryota; Metazoa; Chordata; Mammalia; Primates; Lemuridae. The record is from RNAcentral.